RNAcentral lists this ribosomal RNA (440 nucleotides) under uncultured bacterium. RNAcentral describes it as "partial 16S ribosomal RNA". It matches the Rfam family "Bacterial small subunit ribosomal RNA", at positions 338 to 795 of the family's 1533-position model. The record is from RNAcentral.
CCUACGGGUGGCAGCAGUGGGGGAUAUUGCACAAUGGGGGAAACCCUGAUGCAGCGACGCCGCGUGUGGGAAGACGGUCCUCUGGAUUGUAAACCACUGUCCCCAGGGACGAAGAUGACGGUACCUGGGGAGGAAGCUCCGGCUAACUACGUGCAAGCAGCCGCGGUACUACGUAGGGAGCAAGCGUUGUCCGGAAUUACUGGGUGUAAGGGGAGCGUAGGCGGGAUGGCAAGUUGGGUGUUAAAUCUACCGGCUCAACUGGUAGUCGCACUCAAAACUGCUAUUCUUGAGUGAAGUAGAGGCAGGCGGAAUUCGUGGUGUAGCGGUGAAAUGCGUAGAUAUUAGGAGGAACACCAGUUGCGAAGGCGGCCUGCUAAGCUUUUACUGACGCUGAGGCUCGAAAGUGUGGGGAGCAAACAGGAUUAGAUACCCUAGUAGUC